This 65-nucleotide transfer RNA is filed under the name Dipodomys ordii (Ord's kangaroo rat). It matches the Rfam family "tRNA". Rfam says of the family: Transfer RNA (tRNA) molecules are approximately 80 nucleotides in length. Their secondary structure includes four short double-helical elements and three loops (D, anti-codon, and T loops). The record is from Rfam by way of RNAcentral. Lineage: Eukaryota; Metazoa; Chordata; Mammalia; Rodentia; Heteromyidae.
GGUGGCUCAGUGGUAGAGUACUUGCCUUGUAUGCAUGAAACCUUGGGUUUGAUUCCUCAGCACCA